GGAUAGCUCAGUCGGUAGAGCAUGAGACUCUUAAUCUCAGGGUUGUGGGUUCGAGCCCCAUGUUGGGCA
Molecule: non-coding RNA, 69 nt
Organism: Podarcis lilfordi (Lilford's wall lizard)
Lineage: Eukaryota; Metazoa; Chordata; Lepidosauria; Squamata; Lacertidae
Source: the annotation of a GenBank genome assembly